UGAUAAUACAUUNAUAGAGAGUUUCAGAGUACGCUGGAAACUGCUCAUAGGUAAACAGGGUGGGCCCUCGAAAUCCUGGUGGCGAGAGGAUUCAGUUCUGGCGCGGAGAACGCGCGGCCGGAAGAACCGCGGAAGGGCGUCCCCGCACGGGGGCCGUCCGACCGCGCGCCUUUUUCCGCUCCAGACGCAUUUGACUCUCGUCCGAAGGACGCUGCAGCCGGUCUGGCAGUGCAAGCGCGACUGCCUGAAGGGCGGGAGACGGCAGUAGGCCGGCGGCGCGCCUCGUGCGAACCGUCGGUCGUUGGCCUUCCCGUCGGUGGCUGGUCGCCAGACCGUGGUGUCGCGAGUCCCUCCGGGGACUCCUCGUCUCCACCCUGCGUAGCGGGACUGAACGCGGCGAGGGUGCUGGGUCUUUCUCCGUCGCACUCUUGUGAGUGGGCGGAGGAACCCCGCGCCCCGUCGGUCGCGUCGAGCCCGUCGGGGACCGGAGGCUGGCAGCGAGUAGGUCGGUCACCCACCUGACCCGUCUUGAAACACGGACCAAGGAGUCUAACAUGUGCGCGAAGUCAAUGAGUCUUGAACAGGCCCAUGGGCGCAAUGAAAGCGAAGGGCGACGUCACGUCGUCUGUGUGGGGAUCCCGCCUCCUCGUGGGGUGGGCGCACCCACGACCCGUCCCGUGAGGCAUCGCCUCUGGGGCGGAGUCUGAGCGUACACGUUGGGGCCCGAAAGGUGGUGAACUAUGCCCGGACAGAACGAAGCCAGAGGAAACUCUGGUGGAGGUUCGCAGCGGUUCUGACGUGCAAAUCGAUCGUCAGAUCCGGGUAUAGGGCAAAAAAAAAUUAAUCNAA
This 849-nucleotide ribosomal RNA is filed under the name Synagelides agoriformis. RNAcentral's name for it is "partial 28S ribosomal RNA". The stretch from base 540 to 849 matches the Rfam family "Eukaryotic large subunit ribosomal RNA", at positions 665 to 939 of the family's 3401-position model. The record is from RNAcentral. Lineage: Eukaryota; Metazoa; Arthropoda; Arachnida; Araneae; Salticidae.